UACAGAGGGUGCAAGCGUUAAUCGGAAUUACUGGGCGUAAAGCGUGCGUAGACGGUUAUGUAAGUCGGGUGUGAAAGCCCCGGGCUCAACCUGGGAAUGCCAUUCGAGACUGCAUAGCUAGGGUGCGGAAGAGGGAAGCGGAAUUCCACGUGUAGCGGUGAAAUGCGUAGAGAUGUGGAGGAACACCAGUGGCGAAGGCGGCUUUCUGGUCUGUAACUGACGCUGAGGCGCGAAAGCGUGGGGAGCAAACAGG
RNAcentral lists this ribosomal RNA (253 nucleotides) under uncultured bacterium. Its description in RNAcentral is "partial 16S ribosomal RNA". It matches the Rfam family "Bacterial small subunit ribosomal RNA", at positions 524 to 776 of the family's 1533-position model. The record is from RNAcentral.